UUUCCGUAGGUGAACCUGCGGAAGGAUCAUUACUGAGUGAGGGCCCCUCGGGGUCCAACCUCCCACCCGUGUUUAACGAACCUUGUUGCUUCGGCGGGCCCGCCUCACGGCCGCCGGGGGGCAUCUGCCCCCGGGCCCGCGCCCGCCGAAGCCACCUGUGAACGCUGUCUGAAGUAUGCAGUCUGAGACAAUUGUCAAAUUAAUUAAAACUUUCAACAACGGAUCUCUUGGUUCCG
This 236-nucleotide unclassified non-coding RNA is filed under the name plant metagenome. Its description in RNAcentral is "partial contains small subunit ribosomal RNA, internal transcribed spacer 1, and 5.8S ribosomal RNA". The record is from RNAcentral.